ACGAACGCUGGCGGCGUGCUUAACCCCUGCAAGUCGAACGGAAAGGCCCUGCUUUUGUGGGGUGCUCGAGUGGCGAACGGGUGAGUAACACGUGAGUAACCUGCCCUUGACUUUGGGAUAACUUCAGGAAACUGGGGCUAAUACCGGAUAGGAGCUCCUGCUGCAUGGUGGGGGUUGGAAAGUUUCGGCGGUUGGGGAUGGACUCGCGGCUUAUCAGCUUGUUGGUGGGGUAGUGGCUUACCAAGGCUUUGACGGGUAGCCGGCCUGAGAGGGUGACCGGCCACAUUGGGACUGAGAGACGGCCCAGACUCCUACGGGAGGCAGCAGGGGGGAAUAUUGCACAAUGGGCGGAAGCCUGAUGCAGCAACGCCGCGUGCGGGAUGACGGCCUUCGGGUUGUAAACCGCUUUCGCCUGUGACGAAGCGUGAGUGACGGUAAUGGGUAAAGAAGCACCGGCUAACUACGUG
This 467-nucleotide ribosomal RNA is filed under the name uncultured bacterium. RNAcentral describes it as "partial 16S ribosomal RNA". It matches the Rfam family "Bacterial small subunit ribosomal RNA", at positions 29 to 507 of the family's 1533-position model. The record is from RNAcentral.